CCUACGGGAGGCAGCAGAGGGGGAUAUUGCACAAUGGGGGAAACCCUGAUGCAGCGACGCCGCGUGAGUGAAGAAGUAUUUCGGUAUGUAAAGCUCUAUCAGCAGGGAAGAAAAUGACAGUACCUGACUAAGAAGCCCCGGCUAACUACGUGCCAGCAGCCGCGGUAAUACGUAGGGGGCAAGCGUUAUCCGGAUUUACUGGGUGUAAAGGGAGCGUAGACGGGUAUGUAAGUCUGGAGUGAAAGCCCGGGGCCCAACCCCGGGACUGCUUUGGAAACUGUGUGACUGGAGUGCAGGAGGGGCAGGCGGAAUUCCUGGUGUAGCGGUGAAAUGCGUAGAUAUCAGGAGGAACACCGGCGGCGAAGGCGGCCUGCUGGACUGAAACUGACGUUGAGGCUCGAAAGCGUGGGGAGCAAACAGGAUUAGAUACCCUAGUAGUC
This 440-nucleotide ribosomal RNA is filed under the name uncultured bacterium. Its description in RNAcentral is "partial 16S ribosomal RNA". It matches the Rfam family "Bacterial small subunit ribosomal RNA", at positions 338 to 795 of the family's 1533-position model. The record is from RNAcentral.